This 9992-nucleotide long non-coding RNA is filed under the name Homo sapiens (human). RNAcentral describes it as "HSALNT0292512". The record is from RNAcentral. Lineage: Eukaryota; Metazoa; Chordata; Mammalia; Primates; Hominidae.
CACACACACACAUAUAUAGUUCUCUCUUCCUCCAGAUAUCUGUAGGCUUCAUCCUCUCACUUCCUUAGGCCUCUGCCCACAUGGCACCAUAUCAGAAAGGCCUUCCCUGAUGACUUAAUAUUAAAAAAAAAAACCCAAGCACUCCCAGUCCUCCGUUUUAGUUUUCCUCUUUUCUCUUAUCAGUGGCAUAUUAGACACUUAUUCAUUUACUUAUUUAUUUUCUCUCUCCCCUGAGCAGCACGUGACCUCUAUAAGAGCAGACUUGGUUUUGUUUUCUGCUGUGUCCCCAGAACCUGGAGCACAGUAAGUGCUCAAUAAAUAUUUGCUGGAUUUUGUGAAUGUGUGUGUCCCCUUUAUGAAAUGGCACGGAAGAGCCUGCACUGACGCUCCAGGUGAUUUGGGGCCUGAAUGGGUCACUGAUCAACUUUUAUCUUAACCAGACCAGGGUGAUGAGGAGAAUUAGGUGGCUGCUCAGGGGCCCUUCACACACAUACCUUUGGGACCAACGCUGUUUCGUCUGCAGCAAUGGCGUGCCUGGCUUUCAUGCUUGUGGUUUGUACCAUAGUUGUGAUGUUGUCUAGAAUUCCCAUGGCAGCUUUACAAUAUGAUUAAUUUUGCUCAUAUAGAUACAUAUCGAUUACGGAUAAAGAUGACUCAAGGUUUAAAUUUAGCCCCACCACAACAAAUUGAAAGUCACAGGUGUGCUACCUAAUUGCUCCCAGACUAUGAAAACAAAAGCACAAUGUCUGCCAGCACUGAAUCACUCUUCUCCACCCUUUUUCUCCCUUCCCUUCAUGUUCUCUGUCUUAAUUCUGUUCAUGUCGUAAACCGUGGUAGCUUAGAAAAGUGAAAAAUAACAUCCGGAGUCCAAAGUUCCAGUCCUGACACCACCACUUGUUUACUGUGAGAUCUCAAGCAUGUUACCCCACCUCCCUGAGCUUCAGUUUCCUCUUUUGUAGAAUAGACCUACUUGAAAACAGGUGCUCAAUAACGUGUUGAAUGAAAGAUGCCUAAGUGAGACAGCAUGGGUAGAAUGUCUAGCCCAGGGUGAGCACUCAAUAGAUGCUAGUCACCGGCCAUGCUAACUGAUGCACCUGACUGUGCUGUCUUCAUGAACUUUCUUUGGCUUUGGUUAACCAUUAGGAUAGGCAACCCAGCUGAAAACAGAGGAUGGCUCAUGACAAGGCCUUUCCUAAUCAGUCUCUCACAAGGGCUUUUAUGGAGGCCCUACUAUGCGUACAGCAAGGUGGAAGAUUCAGGGGUGGGUGGAGCAUCAAGCCAGCGAGAGGCAUAGUUACUGCUGCUAUUGGUGCCCUGUGGCUGCUGUAACAAAUGACCACAAGCUUUGUAGCUUAAAGCCACAGAAAUGUAUUCGCUCACAGUUCUAGAGGGCAAAGCAUUUGAAAUCAAAAUGUUGGCAGGGCCACGCUCCCUCCAAGGGCCCUAAGGAAGAAUCCACUCUCUGCCUUUUGCAGCUUCUGGCGACUCCUGGUGUUGCUUGGCUUGUGGAAGCACAGCUCCGUUCCGCGCCUCUGUCUUCACAUGAUCUUCCCUACUGUGUGUCUCUGUGUCUCAAAUCUCCCUCACCUUUCUCUAAUAAGGAAACCAAUCAUUGGAUUUAGGGUCUACCCUAAAUUCAAAAUGUUUUCAUCUUGAGAUCCUUAACUUAAUUACAUCUGCAAGGACCCUAUUUCUAAAUAAGUUCACAUUCAUAAGUGUUGGGGUUUGGGGUUUAGGGUUUUGACAUCUUUUUUGGGGUCCCAAUUUAACCCAGCUACAGUGGCCUCCAGGAAUUUCAGAUUAGGGAAAGGAAGAGCACACACAGAUGAACAAAAAAAGUUUCAAGUAGAGUUUGUAAGACAAAUCUUAUUUGAAGGUGGUUAGUAGGGGGUUGAUCCAUUAAUUUUUUGAUCCAGAAAUAUUCACUGAGCCCCUGCUAUGCUGGGUGCUGGAGAUAGAAAUGAGGAAGCACAGUCUCUGCCUUCAAGGAGUUCACAGACUGCUUCAAUGAACAGAGAAAUGGACAUUUAUUGUUGAGCAUGGUAGGAGCUGUGGUAGAAGUAGACCCCUGAUGCGAUGGGCAUUAGCAGGUCUGAGUUACAACCUCGGGGCUGGUGUUCAGAGAGGGCUUUCUGCAGGAAGUAUUAUCCCUUCCAAGGCCUAAAGGUUGAGGGAGUAGGAGCUGGCCAGGCCCAAGCGGGAAUGGUUCUAGGAAGAAGGAAUGGAGGAAAGACAGGCUGGCCUGUAUAGGUUCUGCACUAUGUAGGGGGCUGGAGAGGUGCACAAGGGAUCAGAUUGAAUGGGAUGCUGAAAACCACAGAAAGCUAUGGAGAGCCAUAGAAAGACUGUAGGGAGGGGAGUGACAUGACUAGAUCUGUAUGUUAAAAAUAAAAAUUGGAGAAGGUCUUUUGAGAAAAGUGAUUUUCUAAUAGAAUUUUAUUUGAUCCUUUUUUUAAAAAAAGAAGCAUAACAUAUAUACAGAAAUGCAUACAAGUCAUAAGAGGUGCAUUUUGAUGAAUGAUUACAAAGUGAAUAGCCCUGUGUAUAUACUGCUUAGGUUUUCCAGAUGUAUAGGUUGUCAGAGUACAGGCAGAAUAGAGGAGAGAUGGCCUAAUCAUUUGGAAUUUCUCUUCUUUGUCCUGUGGAGAAAUGGCUUUCAUAACAGAAAGAAUAUGGGAUCUAGGGUAGAAAGGCUCAGUUUUGAGCUCUAUAUCUGGUAUUUCCUUUUUGUAUGAUCUCAGGCAAAUGGCUACACUUUCCUUAUCCUCAGUUUCACUACUGAGAGUGGACUAGCUAUGUCUUCUUCACUAAGAUGGUGUGCAGGUAAAAUAGGACAAAGCUGGUAAAAAGCUCUCUGCAUUAUGCAAAAUAGUUGCCCAUAUAAUUCUAAAAUUCCAAUCUGUCUCAGAUAUAGACUGCUUCACUUUAUCUUCUUCCUUCUUUAUAUGACAUUUUGACAGAUGAAUGAGGAGGGAAGGAGGGGAGGGAGUUUCUCUUUUUGUAAUGCUUUUUUUUUUUUGGUUUUGUUUUCCAUUUCAAAAUGCCAGCCACAUCUGGAGUGGCUCUCCUAUACCCUUCUCUGUCCCUACUCUUCCUGCUCAUUGCUGGCCAUCUUACCCAACCAGGCCCAAAGAGGCAGGGGAAGGAGGGCGGGAAUGAGGGCAUGAAAAGAGCUUCGAGGUGAAAAGAAGUCCCUUCGUCUUCCUUGAGGGUCCCUGCUGUCCCCAGCUGUGCACUAGGCAUUUGGGAUGGAGGUGGGGGGAUGUAGAUGGGAAACAUGCCCUUCACUUUCAGUGUGAUGUCAAGUCUGUUGAGGCAAAAUGAAAACAGCCUAGGCCGAGCGCGGUGGCUCACGCCUGUAAUCCCAGCACUUUGAGAGGCCGAGGCGGGCGGAUCACGAGGUCAGGAGAUCAAGACCAUCCUGGCUAACACGGUGAAACCCCCUCUCUACUAAAAAUACAAAAAAAAGUUAGCCAGGCAUGGUGGCAGGCACCUGUAGUCCCAGCUACUCGGGAGGCUGAGGCAGGAGAAUUGCGUGAACCUGGGAGGCAGAGCUUGCAGUGAGCCGAGAUCUGGCCACUGCACUCCAGCCUGGGCAAGAGAGUGAGACUACGUCUCAAAAAAAAAAAAAAAACAAAAAACAAAAAACAGCCUAAUAGCAGAGCAAGACCAGCUAAGGUCAAAGUCUUAGUGUCAGAGGCAAAUAGCCCCAAAGGAGGCUGGAAACAGAAGAGACCACUUCACUGGGUAAAACACCUACAGAAGGUGAGCUCAGUGCUAGGCUCUCCCUUCUCUCCUCUCAUUUCAAAUUCUUGGCAUUUUAUGCAAUAAAUAUAUUUAAGCACCUAUAGCAUAUCAGACCAUUAUUUUAUACACAUUGUUUUAUUUGAUCCUCAGAACAACACUAAAAGCUAAGUAUUAUAAUUACCAUCUUUUGGAGGAAGGGGACCAAGAUUUACAGAUUUGCUCAAGAUCACACCACUGUUAAAAGAAGGAAAUAGCUUUGAACCCACACCCAUCCAGUCCCACAAAUCCUGCUCUUUCCACUCUGCUAUACCGUUCGUUGAACGUAUGUGGAAGGGAGCCACGCGCUUUAUCGGGCUGCAUCACAUUGCAUGCAUUUUUAGUAUAUGUGUGCACAUGCCAACAGGCAUGUGGGAAUCCUGCUGGGUGAGUUGUAAUGAGGGCGUUUUGAGUGGCUAGAUGCAUUUUUGCUGGUGAGGCCUGGCUCAAGGAGAACAGGAAAGGAAGCAUACAAACCCAGUGUGUGGGAGGCUAGUCACACGGUGUGAGGGCUUGUCCUUGAACAAACUAUUGGGAAAUGGGUCUGUUAAGCCCUGGUGAAACUUUACUUUACUGGGGGGCCCCUAGGUUUUUCCAUGACUAUUUGAUUUCCAAAGCAUAAUUCAUUCCCAAUUCUUGAAAAAAAAGAAAAAGCAAUAUUUGUUUAGCACCUCCUGUGUGCCAGGCAUGGUGCUUGGUGCUUUACAUAUGUGACAUCAUUUAAUUCUCACAAACCCUUGCCCAUUAGUGCCACUGUUCAGCCCAGGAGACAGAUUCAGGAAGUUCAGGCGAUUUGUUCAAGAUUCUUCAGCUGGUGUGGAGCAGCACUGGGGUUCCUGCCCUGUGCUGUUCAACAGCAAGUCACACUGGCAUUUUAAAGUUAUUGGUGGGACAUUCUGUCUUUUAAUAUAGUUGUAAAUUAUCUCUAAUCAUGAAAUAGGAUGACAGCAUACUGAUCCUUCCUCUCCUCUUUUAGAAAAAGAAAGGCAUUAUCUUUUCAUUCCUGAGUAACUAAGAUUCUUUGCCCCAGAGGUAAAAAUCUCCACUCCAGGUUACUCAUGUGUCAUUGUCCGGAGGGUACAAUUGCUACUCUUGCUUUCGUUUGGCCCUUUUUCUUCUUCUUUUCCUAAGGUACCUGGCCUCUUUCAAGAUAUCUCUCACUCCCCCAUACCCAUCACUAUAGUAUAAGGCUGCUGAGGUGGCACCAGCCAUGAUAAGGAAGGCAGGGACCUGUGGCCUGGAUGAGCCUGUAGUCAGAGAGACCUGGUGUGUAUGGAGUCUAGAGGGCCCUCUGAGGUUUGAGAUAGGCCUAAUAGUCUCCCAAAGACCCCUGGUCCCUGCUCACCUAGUGCCAUCAUAGAAGGGAAAAGAUGUUCUUGGUGUCACUGGAGAACAUUUGGCUUUGGAGAUAAGUGUUUGGGCCACCAGCCCCCUUCAAGAAUAUAUAGCAAUUAUGAGUGUCUGGAUGGACCUCAUUUUUUGCACUGGGCGGAUAGAUUAACCAAACCUCCCAGAAGUGGAAUGAAUAACAAAGAGAAAGGUCUUUGCAAUUCUAGGGCUUGUCCUUUCACAUCUCUUUUAAGGCUUGUGAAAGCAGCGAGCAGUGGGGAGGGAGAUGGGUGGAAUGGGCAUUUGUUAACGAGGAGAAAUCCUGAGAUGCUUGGUUGUGUGACCUGGGGUUGGGAAGCCACUCCACUUCACAUCUCUGAGUCUCAAUUUUCCCUUCUGCCAUUUGGCAAAGGGAAUGCUUCCCUUCCUCUUCCCCUGCCCCAGACGGCUGCUGUGAGAAUGAGAUGAGAAUAUGUUUAGGGUUUUGGAGUGAUGUCCGAACUCAGAGAAGGUGCUUAGGCCAAAGUCAAGAGGCCUGAGGUGUACUCCAGACUCUGCCCUGAACUCAGUAUCUCUUCUUUCCGGGGCUUCCUUUCUAUAAAAUGGGGGAAUGAGGGUAGCUUUCUUUCUUUUUUUUUUUUUUCCCUCAAUGGUCACUUUUGAUUCUAAAUGCCAUAAUGCCAUGACUGUUUUCUCAAAGUAGAGGAUUAGAUGCAACUUUUAGGAGAUAAAUGGAUCAUUUAAUAGUUACCUGUUCAGUCAUUUAACAAAUGUUUAAUGAGGACCUACCACAUGUCAGCCACAGUGCUAGGUAAUGGAUAGAAUAACAAACAAAACAGACGUAGCCCCUGCCCUCAUGGAACUUCUAGUCUAGUAUAAGACUGUUUGGAAGAACUUCCUCAUCUCAGAUAGUUGAAGAAGUUCCAGGGCUCCAAGGGGAAUGUCGUUAGUUAAAAGAACAAUGUCAGGAAUGUAAUAGGUGCUCAAAUAUUUGUUAAAUGAAUAAAUCAAUACAAGCACCUGAAGGAAGCUCUUGCAGUAACCCUAGAGUUAGGAGCAGUUCUUUGGAGUCCAGAAAGACUGUGGGAGCUCUGGCAAAGGGUGUAUGUAAUUGCUAAAUAGUUUGUUUGUUGAGACACCUGUGGAUGGGAGGAUCUGCCCCUACCUGCCUGGUUCUCAAGGUGGCCACUUACUGGGAACAACGAUGGCUUCACUUGCCAGGUCUUUUCCCCAGAGGUGGAGCCCAUGCAGAUGCUGGAACUGAAGGGGGGAAGGGAAAAGUGGCCAGGGAAAAAUGCCAGUGUUUGUAUGACAUUUGGGCUAAGCCCAGAGGACCCAUAGAGAUUGUGGGGUCUCAUCUGUAUCCUGUCAGAGGGGUAACUGAGGCCUAGAUGGGAUGUGAGGUCACAAAAGAGUUGGCUCCAAGCCAUGUCAGGAGGCUGGAUGGGGAGGUGGAAAGAACCUGGGCUUAGGAGUUGGAGAGUACUUGGGUUUGAAGGCUGUGGAUCCUUGGGUAAAUCACUUAAUCUCUCUGAAUCAGCUUUCUCAUCUGUUGAAGAGACAUCACAGUGGUGGCAUCUGAAAGAUGUCAUGAGGUAUAAUGUGUCUUGGACACCUAAAAUCAGGACCCAGGACUAACUAUAGACCUGAUAAUCAGUAUUUAUAAUUAUUACAUUAUUAGGACCCAGGUCCUAUUUCUGUGCAAUGUUGAAAGAUAGUGAUAAGAACAAUUUAGAUCAGAACUUACAAGUUUGCAUGAUCUUCAUUAUAAAUGAAAUAGUGAAACAAUGCUGAGCGGAUUUACAGAGGCGUAACUCAUUCAUUAACCAGCUUAGACAGGCAUUUUCCCCCCUCUUUGGGAUUGGUUUUCUCUUCUGUUAAAUGGGGAUAAUUUUUAUGCUCAACCUCUUCUCAUCCAUCUAUUAAACAUUUAUUGAAUGCCUAUUAGGAGUCAUAAUAUGCUUAGUGCUGAGGACACAGGAAGAGGACAUAGUUCCUGACCCUAAGGAGCUCAUUACCUAGUGGGACACUAUUAAACAGAUACAACACAGAAUAGUAUGUAUAGAGCAUGGUAUGUAGCAGGGGCCUAUUCCUGUCUGAGUGGACAAGGAGGCUUCCUAGAGGAAGCAACAUUUAAAGCUGAGGGCUGAAGGAUGAAUAGGAUUUAACCAAGUAAAAGUAAGAAAGGAAGUGGGGAGCUGGAAAGGGCAUUCCAGGAAGAAGAAACUGCAUGUGCAAAGGCCAGGAGGUCAGAGCGCACAGUGGAUAUGACGAUGUGGCUAGCUGAGCAUGUCUGUGCAGUGUCAACUUUGUUGUGAACACAGAGGGAGGCUACUGGGAAAUUUUAAGCAAGAGAGUUGGAGUAUGAUCACAUUUGCAUGUUAGAAAGAACACUCAGGGUUAUAUGCACUUGAAUGAAGUUUUAUUAUGGAGAGCAGUUGGAACAAGUCGAUUCUUUCCUCCUCCUCCAUCAUCCUCCUCUUUUCCCUGUCCACAUAACAUGGCUCACAUGAGAUAAAAUAACCCACACAAGCAUGCCUUGUGUAAUGUCUGCCACAUAGUAGGUGUCCAAUUAUCAUAUAAUUCCCCCCUUUUUAAAUGUAGUUCCUGAAAGAGAAAUCCCCUGGCAUGAAGCACAAGUUGGGGCAAAAACGGUGAGGGUGUGGCUGUUUGUAUCUUCUGGCUGGUGUUUGGGUAUAGCCGACAGGAUUUAGGUCAGAGGAAGUUCCCCAGACAGUUCAGCCUCAACCAGUCAUCUGGGGUUUCAGGGAGGGCAGGUGAAGGUCAUAAUAUCCCCCUAUUUCAGGAGGCCACCCCUCCCCAGGAUCCUGAUCUUGAAAUGUACCAGACAUGGACCAUUGCGUUAAUUUGUCUGGGUCGGCUUCCUCAUCUGUAAAAUGGGUAUAAGGUUACCUGUGCUGUCAGCCACAUGGGGUUGUUGUAAGAAACAGAAAAGUGUGAACCACCACAAAAUAAUAUAAGACUACAUUAAUUAAUGGCUACCCUGGGCUGGGCCUUGUUCUGUGAAGUAGAUAUUAUCAAUUAUCCCUAUUAUACAGAUAGCAAAACCAAGGGUCAGAGAGAUUAUGUGAAUCACCCACAGGCACAGAAUAAGUGGCUGUAGCUGGAGCGCUGGCAUUUUAACCACAACACUGUGACACCAUGACUUGUUCUCCUUUGAAAACCACCUCCUGCUCCCUGAGCUCUUAGCUUGAUGCAGUACUCCAGAAAUGAGUGUAGAAAGAUGGAAGAAGGAAGGAAAGGGGCAGUGUUUGAAGUCUGAGAGUCUUUCCAGAUGCCUCCCUACUCCUCACCCCACCAACUCAGGGUCUUCUUCCAGAUGCACUCUGGGAAAUGGCUCAUGGCAUCCUCUUAAAAUGACCUGUUACCUGACUCCUCAUUAGAUGGGGACACGUGGGGGAAGGGACUGUUUGGUUUGCGUUGGUAUCCCCAGGGUCUAGUACAAUGGCUGGCACUCAGUAAAUGUUUGUGAAUAAAUUCCUCCUGUCAUUGUCUGAAUUUUCUGCCCAUGCUGUCCUCUUGGCCAAGAGAUCUAAAAGCAAACGAGCUGGGGCUUCUGGAAAGUCUUCCAAGGUCAGUGGAUGCAUGUGUGAUGGAGGCCCAGCAAGAGGUCAGUGUGUUGCCCUGGGGCAAGCCUGCAGGAUGGACCCAGAGGGCUGGGGUGGCCGGCUUCAUCCAGCUCAUUUUUCCCAAGGGAUCUGGCGCUCACAGGCUGCACAUAGAGCCCACGUGUUGUGUUGCGUGAGGACCCCUAAGGAUUUGUUGAGUGGUCCUAGGUGCUCAAGUCACUGUACCUGCAGGGUGGCUUGAGCUGGGCCCACCUGACUGAUUGGCUGGUCAAUAGGUGGCCUGAGAACCAAAACUAGCCUCCAGCACAUUGAGCAACCGGCUUCCUUCCUGCCCCGGGUCAGGAGCUGGGCCAGGGAAAGUGAAGAAACCUGUUUGGGGCCUCGGCAGGGUGGGCGUGGGUGGGGCCCUGCCGGGAAAAGAGGCGCCUAGACCAGUUAGUUUCCUUUGCUCCAGGACCGGAUGCGGAGCCGGGACUCAGGUGGAGGCAGGAGAAAUACGCACCCUGGGUGCACCUAUUCCUAUCAGGCGAAGGCCGCCUUUCCUGGCCUCCCCCACAGGCCCGCCAGCGAUUCGUCCUUACAAGGCUAGCCUCCACGGGCUGCCCUCUGUGUAAAUAAAGCCACAGACUUCCGCCCACAGGUCGCCGCAGGUCCCGCCCGCAGCGCCGGGCCGCGGGGGAGGCGGGAACUGGUGCUACGGCCGCUACGCAGGCCUCGGGAGGCUCGGAGCCCGCCACGCCCCAGCCCUCUCGCAGGGCCGGGGAGCCACGGGGCCAAAAGGAGGAGCAGGUGGAAGAAAUCCAGGCUCAGACCGUCGGAGUCCCCACCCAUGAGCACCCUUCUCCACUGAUCACUCAGAACAUGGUAGGCCCUAGAGAGACAGCAGCCCGAAUCUUCCCAGAAACCCUGCAGGAGAUUCCUUCUUCCCAUUUUAUAGAAGGGAGGCUGAGGCUCGGCACGUUGAAAUGGCUUGACCAAGGUCCCACAGGCAAAAAAAUGGUACAGCAAGAUAUUGUAACCCAAUAUCUGGCUGCAAAACCCAGUCUCUCCCCAACCCACCUAUCGUCACCGAGAUUGUAAAACUUCUAACCGGGAAGAAUCAAAUACAUGCACAACGGGUUACAGGUUAACAGACAGAUGGGAGCGGAAAGGGACAUUCCAGCGCUUCCCUGGGCGUGUCGCACAGGGCAACUCCAACCACAGGCGAAUUUUCCUGGGUGACAGUUAAACUCCUUUUUGCAUGAAAAAAUACAGAUUCUUAUUAAAACAAUAAUCGAUUAGACUAUAAAA